RNAcentral lists this long non-coding RNA (1129 nucleotides) under Dasypus novemcinctus (nine-banded armadillo). RNAcentral describes it as "lncRNA (ENSDNOG00000052040.1)". The record is from RNAcentral. Lineage: Eukaryota; Metazoa; Chordata; Mammalia; Cingulata; Dasypodidae.
GGAAGAAACACGGCUUCCACCAAACGGUUCCAUGGCCUGCUUUCUCUCAGAGGUUAAACACAACUCAAAGCAAUGAGAGUGGCAACUAGUACUGGGCACACCAGACUCCUGGGGAGCAGGCUUGCCUCCCAGCAAGAUGAAAACAAGAGGCAGCACCCACCAGCCCUUUGGAGAGCUCCCGGAUGCGGCUUAGCUGCUGUCGGCGGGCAAUCGAAGAGCCUGAGCCAGAAGACUUACUGCCCAGAGAAAACUGCCUCUGUCACCCCAACUCCAACCUGGUAUGUGGGAGGAAUGUGACCGCAAAUGCCAUCCUGCGCUUCUCUGCUCCCUCUUCCCAGCCACCCAAGACGCUGCUUUGUCUCAGGGAGAAGAUAAGAUCUAGUCUCUACUCUCAGUACCAAAGGUUGGUUGGAAGAUGUCCAUAAAUCUCUGGCACUGCGGAUCACCAGAAUGCAAGCAGUCAUGAUCCCCUAGCCACAUGUCACCAAGCUUCCCCUAGGUUUGUGUCUUGCCUCCUCAACCAUCUCCUGUUUAAGACAAGAACCAUGUCUUCUCCGGCAGUGUGUCUCAAAAUUUAAAGUGCACGUGCUUGACCUGGAGACCUUGCAAAAAGGAAGAUUCAGUCGGUCAGGGGUGGGGGCCGGAGUAUUUGCAUUUCUAACCCUCCCCCAGGCGACGCCAAUACUGCUGGUCUGUGGACCACGACUUGAGAGAUGGUGGCAAGACACUCCAUCUCCCACUGUGUCCAGGCAAGAAUGAUCCCACAGCCUCAUUUAAGGCACCUCUGUAUAAUGUAUGCAUUGACCAUUUAUCUUUUAUACAUCUCUACACUUUAAUGCAGUGCAUAAUAUAAUAAAACUUCCAUUAUCUGAUCUUCUCCAAAUUGAUUCCUUCUGGAGUUCAUAUAAUUCUUAAUUCAAUUGUCCUGGGGACUCUCCUUGAGUAAUAGGAAUGCGAAUGUUGCACUGCAGGAUCAGAAUUCUAAGUAACUUUGACAAAUUGGAGAAACGUUAUAUUAUAAAUGAACAGGAUAAGGUCCAACUGGGGAAGUUGCAAGACAGUGCCCUUAGGCAUGACAAAUAAAGGAAGCACCACGAAGAGAAAAAUGGAAGAGACCUGGGCAUGUGGA